RNAcentral lists this ribosomal RNA (253 nucleotides) under uncultured bacterium. RNAcentral's name for it is "partial 16S ribosomal RNA". It matches the Rfam family "Bacterial small subunit ribosomal RNA", at positions 524 to 776 of the family's 1533-position model. The record is from RNAcentral.
UACAGAGGGUGCGAGCGUUAAUCGGAAUUACUGGGCGUAAAGCGCACGUAGGCGGCUUGGUAUGUCGGGUGUGAAAUCCCCGGGCUCAACCUGGGAACUGCAUCCGAAACUGCCUUGCUAGAGUAUGGGAGAGGGAAGUGGAAUUUACGGUGUAGCGGUGAAAUGCGUAGAUAUCGUAAGGAAGACCAGUGGCGAAGGCGGGUCUCUGGACAGUUCCUGACGCUGAGGCACGAAGGUCAGGGGAGCAAACGGG